GUUCGGCAACUACAACACGGACCAGGCGAGCACGUACGCGCCGCAGAUCGUGGACACCAUCUCCGCCGGCGUGGAGAAGCUGGUGGCGAUGGGGGCGACGGACGUGGUGGUGCCGGGCGUGCUCCCCAUCGGCUGCUUCCCCAUCUACCUCACCAUCUACGGCACCUCCAGCGCCGCCGACUACGACUCCCUCGGCUGCCUCAAGAAGUUCAACGACCUCUCCACGUACCACAACAGCCUGCUCCAGGCCAAGGUGUCCACCCUCCAGGCCAAGUACAAGUCGGCCCGCAUCAUGUACGCCGACUUCUACGCCGGCGUCUACGACAUGGUCCGGAGCCCCAGCAAAUACGGUACGUCUACAUGCCUACACACUAGUCAUAAUACGUACUGGAGGACAUGAUUUCAUGCACACGCCGGCGGCUAGUCUCGCCGUGGCGGCACUGUGGGUGGGUGGAUUUCAGUUUUCAAACUCGCCGUGGACCACGUCCUCCGUUGUCGGCGCAGAGCGUUUCUCGUUGUUGGACGCGCCCGUCACGCUCUGUCCUGGCAGUGCGGCAGCACCAGCACGGGACAUGCAUGCAUGGUGGCGGGAUUAAAUGAAGGAUUAUUCGGCGUUUAAGGCUCAUGCAGUGCCGCACUGCUGCACCACACCACUUGCUCUGCACUGCUGGCCGGUAGCGUGGUCACCACCACAUGCCCGUCCGUGCGUCCGUGCGUGCGACGGCCGUAGGGACGGAUUCCUGCCGUUAGCCCGGGCUGCGCGCUCCGGCGCCGGCCGUGGGAGCGUGAUCGUGUCC
RNAcentral lists this long non-coding RNA (797 nucleotides) under Hordeum vulgare. Its description in RNAcentral is "long non-coding RNA (HVUL_LNC017721)". The record is from RNAcentral. Lineage: Eukaryota; Viridiplantae; Streptophyta; Magnoliopsida; Poales; Poaceae.